GAUUCGGUAUAUAAAGAAGAUCACAUUCUGCGUCAAGUGCACUUCCUAAAAAUCAAUUUAGAAAGCAAUUUUCAACGUCAUGAAGUUCCUCUCGAUUUUCGUGGUCAUCGCAAUGCUGGCAGUUGCUGUCAGCGGACAGUGCCGAGGACGGGGUGUCCGAUGCAUCAGAGAUAGACAGUGUUGUUCAGGCCUGUGUCGUCGGGCCAGUUGUGCCUAAAUGAAGAACCAUUGGCGCGAAGCACGAAUCCUCAAAGAUGUUCAGGUAAUCGAUAAAUGCAAUGACUUGACGACAAUCGGAGCAAAUUUGGUUCGGCUGAAAUAUCUGAUAGCCGCUUAUCUCCAGGAUUUUUUAUUUGUAAUUUUCCAUAAUUGUGAUACAGAACUGUUCUCUAUUCAAAUGCAAUGGAAAAAUAUACAUUUAUAUGGUAUAUAA
Molecule: long non-coding RNA, 433 nt
Organism: Diachasmimorpha longicaudata
Lineage: Eukaryota; Metazoa; Arthropoda; Insecta; Hymenoptera; Braconidae
Exons: 3
Source: RefSeq, a predicted model, not a curated record